UACGUAGGGCGCAAGCGUUGUCCGGAAUUAUUGGGCGUAAAGCGCGCGCAGGCGGUUUCUUAAGUCUGAUGUGAAAGCCCACGGCUCAACCGUGGAGGGUCAUUGGAAACUGGGGAACUUGAGUGCAGAAGAGAAAAGCGGAAUUCCACGUGUAGCGGUGAAAUGCGUAGAGAUGUGGAGGAACACCGAUGGCGAAGGCAGCCUUCUGGGCCAACACUGACGCUCAUGCACGAAAGCGUGGGGAGCAAACAGG
RNAcentral lists this ribosomal RNA (253 nucleotides) under uncultured bacterium. RNAcentral's name for it is "partial 16S ribosomal RNA". It matches the Rfam family "Bacterial small subunit ribosomal RNA", at positions 524 to 776 of the family's 1533-position model. The record is from RNAcentral.